CGGACGGGUGAGUAAUGUCUGGGAAACUGCCCGAUGGAGGGGGAUAACUACUGGAAACGGUAGCUAAUACCGCAUAACGUCGCAAGACCAAAGAGGGGGACCUUCGGGCCUCUUGCCAUCAGAUGAACCCAUAUGGGAUUAGCUAGUAGGUGAGGUAACGGCUUACCUAGGCGACGAUCCCUAGCUGGUCUGAGAGGAUGAUCAGCCACACUGGGACUGAGACACGGCCCAG
This 232-nucleotide ribosomal RNA is filed under the name uncultured bacterium. RNAcentral's name for it is "partial 16S ribosomal RNA". It matches the Rfam family "Bacterial small subunit ribosomal RNA", at positions 99 to 334 of the family's 1533-position model. The record is from RNAcentral.